AAAACAAAAUCAAGUACAUGUACUUAUUAUAAAGAGAAAACAAAACAACCAAAUUUUUCGUUAAAUCUUCAAUUCAACAAACAGAGAGUAUAUAGGAGAAUAAACUGGAGCAUCUUCAAAGAAGUUGAAAAGAUAUAUAUAGUAGGGUUUACAACUUAAAAACUAAUAAUAAAAAACUCCUCGUUCUGUCUUUAGUUUCUUGCUUCUCAAGUUACAUGCCAUGUCAAAGCCCCUAGAAUAAAUAUUUUGCUAGGCAAUUCCGCAGCUGAUGGAGAGACAUAUGUAAAUCUCUCUUCACCAAUAUCAACAUUUUUGAUACACACAAUUCCAGCAACAAUGCUGCAAAAAAAACAAAUAUAUAUUGCCGUAAAUUUAACGAUCUCUUCAUCCGUAACUUAAUCGUUUUCAACAAAUAUAUAUGGCAAUAAUCCUUUUCUUAGCGUAUCAGGAGGACGAGAGAAGAGUAUCAUCAGCAAAACAGAGAGUUUACUGAUCACUUUCUAUAUUGUUUACUGUUGCCCAUUUAUUUGCUAGCAUACUCCAUUUUAUACCUUUUUAUUUCCCAAUUGACUGAUUGGGUUCUUUAAAACUUAAUCAAAUUGUGUGUUUGGUUUCGAUGGUCAUCACAAAGAACAUGACUUAAACUCAAAUACUACAAAAUUAUUACUAUACAAGUAUAAGAAUUCUAUAUAAAAACGGUCUAUUUUUGCACGAGAAGUAUGACAUCAUACCAAAUGUAAGAGAGAGUAUUAAAGGAGUCAAAACCAAUUAAAGAGGUUAUUACCGAUAGCCUUACCAUGUUUCCAUUGUAAGUUACCGAGACAAAAAGAAACCUCACCGUAACACAGCCGGCGUGACCGCCUAGAACAGCAAGGUGAAUUGCUGAGUGACCUUCCGUAGUCAAUAUGGCAUUCACAUUCUCAUUAAACUCCGCUGACACAAAACGAAAGAAAAAAUAAUUAAGAAAAGUGAAGAUGUAAUUGUUGUUAAUCAAAGAACUAAAAUAAAGCUUUGAGAUCUAUUUACCCAUCAUUUGGGUUAAGCCUUCGGUAUUUCCGUUCUGAAUUAAAGUAGCAAUUUGCAUGAGGUUUUCGGGAAGAUGGAGUAGUGUCACCAUUUUUUCUUUCUCUCUUGUUUUAUCUAUAUUCUUAGAUCUCUCAUGGUUGGUUUGAUCUCUACUAGCGAAGGGGUUUAUUUAUUUAUAAUGGUGUGAAAUCGGUGGGUGGAUGCUAACUUGCACGGUUUUAUCUAUCUUCACUCAUGCAACUUCGCUUUAUCAAAGUCUAAUUAGUAUUUUGAUCGAUGAACUCUAUUAGGUUAGAACUUAAAACUAGAAGAAUAUUUUUCAGGUUAUAUUUUUGGCAACUUUCAUUUAGACUAAUUUGCGAAGAAAUGAAAAAUACUCUUGGUAACUUUAACGUGCUAUUGGUCAGUUACACGUUUUGUUUUAUAUUUGAUGACGAAGUUUCUUUUGUUUACCAAUUUACUACUAGUUACAAAGCAUGAACGGUCCAGCUAAUAGGAAUCUUUGAAAAAAUAAUUGACUUAAACUGACUCAGCUAAUAGGAUGACUUAAGAAAGUAAGUUUGCAUAUUACUAUACGACCAAUUAAAGAUAUUUUUGGGAACUUAAUUUGCGAAGAAAUUAAAAAUACUCUUGGUAACUUUAACGUGAUAUUGGUCCGUGACAAGUUUUGUUUCGUGUUGAUGACUAGGCUUCCUUUAUCUAACAACAGAAAUGUUACCGAGAGUGAACAAUUCAGCUCAUAGUAUUGUUCUCAACUCCUCCAUCUCUGGUUAAAUACUGCCUCAAAUCUUCGACGCAGGAUCGGUCCGCCAUAAAUGUUCUAUGCAAAUAAAAUAUUUAUGCCCUCUAUUUUUUUGCAUAAUCAAAAAUAAGAAUAAUAUAUAAAAGUUAUAGUAAAACUUUAUAGAACAGUUUUUUUAAAA
Molecule: small RNA, 1949 nt
Filed under: Arabidopsis thaliana (thale cress)
Lineage: Eukaryota; Viridiplantae; Streptophyta; Magnoliopsida; Brassicales; Brassicaceae
Description: ATSL285100
Source: RNAcentral